UACGAAGGGGGCUAGCGUUGCUCGGAAUCACUGGGCGUAAAGCGCACGUAGGCGGCUUCUUAAGUCAGGGGUGAAAUCCUGGAGCUCAACUCCAGAACUGCCUUUGAUACUGAGGAGCUUGAGUCCGGGAGAGGUGAGUGGAAUUGCGAGUGUAGAGGUGAAAUUCGUAGAUAUUCGCAAGAACACCAGUGGCGAAGGCGGCUCACUGGCCCGGUACUGACGCUGAGGUGCGAAAGCGUGGGGAGCAAACAGG
RNAcentral lists this ribosomal RNA (253 nucleotides) under uncultured bacterium. RNAcentral describes it as "partial 16S ribosomal RNA". It matches the Rfam family "Bacterial small subunit ribosomal RNA", at positions 524 to 776 of the family's 1533-position model. The record is from RNAcentral.